RNAcentral lists this non-coding RNA (29 nucleotides) under Homo sapiens (human). The record is from RNAcentral. Lineage: Eukaryota; Metazoa; Chordata; Mammalia; Primates; Hominidae.
UGCCACUCAAGGGGAAGCCCUGUCCAGGA